GAUGGAUCCAAAUCUUAAGGCACUUUUUACACAGCCAGAGAAAGUUUGUGAGAUGUACUUAAAAGAGUUUAUGCAGAUUAUGGACUUCCAGGAAAAACACAGACGACAUUUGUGUGCAAAAGAAACAGAAGAGAAAGCAAAAUUGAAAGCCUAUGUCGAACACAUCACACAGAGGAAAGAACAAUUACAACG
Long non-coding RNA from Amblyraja radiata (thorny skate), 192 nucleotides. RefSeq lists it as uncharacterized. The record is from RefSeq and is a predicted model, not a curated record. The transcript has 3 exons. NCBI's taxonomy places the organism in Eukaryota, Metazoa, Chordata, Chondrichthyes, Rajiformes, Rajidae.